UACACACCGCCCGUCACACCAUGGGAGUGGAAUCUGGCAGAAGUAGGUAGCCUAACCGCGAGGGGGGGCGCUUACCACGCUGGGUUUCAUGACUGGGGGUG
RNAcentral lists this ribosomal RNA (101 nucleotides) under uncultured bacterium. Its description in RNAcentral is "partial 16S ribosomal RNA". It matches the Rfam family "Bacterial small subunit ribosomal RNA", at positions 1384 to 1482 of the family's 1533-position model. The record is from RNAcentral.